CGAAGAUACACGAAGAACCUUACCUGGCCUUGACAUGGUAGGAACCUUAAGAGAUUAGGGGUGCUAGCUUGCUAGAACCUACACACAGGUGCUGCACGGCUGUCGUCAGCUCGUGUCGUGAGAUGUUGGGUUAAGUCCCGCAACGAGCGCAACCCUCGUCCUUAGUUGCUAACAGUUCGGCUGAGCACUCUAGGGAGACUGCCUUCGCAAGGAGGAGGAAGGUGAGGACGACGUCAAGUCAUCAUGGCCCUUACGGCCAGGGCUACACACGUGCUACAAUGGGGCGUACAGAGAGCUGCGAUACCGCGAGGUGGAGCCAAUCUCUUAAAGCGUCUCUCAGUUCGGAUUGUUCUCUGCAACUCGAGAACAUGAAGCUGGAAUCACUAGUAAUCGCAGAUCAGCUAUGCUGCGGUGAAUACGUUCCCGGGUCUU
RNAcentral lists this ribosomal RNA (432 nucleotides) under uncultured Sulfuricurvum sp. Its description in RNAcentral is "bacterial SSU rRNA". It matches the Rfam family "Bacterial small subunit ribosomal RNA", at positions 952 to 1382 of the family's 1533-position model. Lineage: Bacteria; Pseudomonadati; Campylobacterota; Epsilonproteobacteria; Campylobacterales; Sulfurimonadaceae. The record is from RNAcentral.